This 558-nucleotide small RNA is filed under the name Pan troglodytes (chimpanzee). RNAcentral describes it as "retained intron". The record is from RNAcentral. Lineage: Eukaryota; Metazoa; Chordata; Mammalia; Primates; Hominidae.
AUCCGUGCUGCUCCCUGCCUUUGAGGGAAGAGGAGGCCUCACACCACAUCCCCAGGUGGCCACGUGGCCCCAACUCCACUGACCCAGGAUCAGGAGAGGCUGAGCUCCUUUCUCAGCAGCUUCUUCCUAUGGCCCCAGCCUCCGUGCCCUCUUCCCUCCAGGGGGGACUCGGUGACUGCCUGGGGAGGAAGGAGAGGCGUCGCAGGCGUCCGAGCUGGGCCACAGCCUGAACGAGAACGUCCUCAAGCCUGCGCAGGAGAAGGUGAAGGAGGGAAAGAUUUUUGAUGAUGUGUCCAGUGGGGUCUCUCAGUUGGCGUCCAAGGUAGGGAGCCUGCCAGAUACGCGGGCACAGUCGAAGCCAGUCUCCAUAUUCCACGGCCCUGGGCGUGAGAGCAGGGUGUGCCCCGUGCAGCCCUCAGCCCAGCUUGGCAGUGGCCGCUGUCCUCUGAGACGGGAGGAGAGCUGCCCAGCCUGACAGCCCGAGGGAUAUGGAAACAGCUUGGCCCACUGCGGCCCGGUCAGCCACUAACUGUCACUUCUCCCUCUGCUCUUAUCUUG